CUCUGCCAUGAUGCUGGUGACGACCCAUGUAAAUGCUGUAUAUUUCUUUUUCAAAUUCCUUCAGCAUAGUUGAUGGCAUAUAAUAUAACGUUUCUGCUUUUAUAGAAUCUUAAGUCUCAGGUUUACAUCAUUAUGACUAAAUUACUUCUCCCAGUUGUUUACAGAUAGCACGGGCAUUUGGGCUUCUGAAAUUAUUGUUGUUGAUGUUCAAGAUGAUAAACUUCGCAAUGCAAAGAUGCUAGGAGCAACUCACACAAUAAAUGCAGCAAAAGAAAAUGUCGUUGACAAGAUAAAGCUCAAUUGGUUUUCUUCAAAAAUGGUGAAGGGAAAGUGAUAUGUAUCCUUGUCGUGGUGGCGGUGUUUUUGAACUUGUUGUACUUCUAUGGAAUGUGUGGUGUAGUGAAUGAUUGCUUGCUUCAACGGUACUUUAGCAAUUCCUCUAGUGGUGGUUCGCCCUCGAAUAUAAUUACAGAAGAUGCGCAGGAGAAGUUAUCGAUAUAGCUGUUGGAUGUGCAGGUGGACUAUUGAUACUCGCAUCCAUUUUCUAUCUAUGGUGGAUGAAGGAAUCACCUGGCCAUAUGCGAGUGUAUACAGACUCACCAAGAUUUGCACUUUCAGCAUUAUUGUAAUUGUAAUUGAAUUAUUGAA
Long non-coding RNA from Magnolia sinica, 648 nucleotides. RefSeq lists it as uncharacterized. The record is from RefSeq and is a predicted model, not a curated record. Lineage: Eukaryota; Viridiplantae; Streptophyta; Magnoliopsida; Magnoliales; Magnoliaceae. The transcript is spliced from 4 exons.